This 1531-nucleotide ribosomal RNA is filed under the name Bacillus sp. FJAT-20673. RNAcentral's name for it is "bacterial SSU rRNA". It matches the Rfam family "Bacterial small subunit ribosomal RNA". Lineage: Bacteria; Bacillati; Bacillota; Bacilli; Caryophanales; Bacillaceae. The record is from RNAcentral.
AGAGUUUGAUCCGGGAUGAGGACGAACGCUGGCGGCGUGCCUAAUACAUGCAAGUCGAGCGAAUCGAUGGGAGCUUGCUCCCUGAGAUUAGCGGCGGACGGGUGAGUAACACGUGGGCAACCUGCCUAUAAGACUGGGAUAACUUCGGGAAACCGGAGCUAAUACCGGAUACGUUCUUUUCUCGCAUGAGAGAAGAUGGAAAGACGGUUUACGCUGUCACUUAUAGAUGGGCCCGCGGCGCAUUAGCUAGUUGGUGAGGUAAUGGCUCACCAAGGCGACGAUGCGUAGCCGACCUGAGAGGGUGAUCGGCCACACUGGGACUGAGACACGGCCCAGACUCCUACGGGAGGCAGCAGUAGGGAAUCUUCCGCAAUGGACGAAAGUCUGACGGAGCAACGCCGCGUGAACGAAGAAGGCCUUCGGGUCGUAAAGUUCUGUUGUUAGGGAAGAACAAGUACCAGAGUAACUGCUGGUACCUUGACGGUACCUAACCAGAAAGCCACGGCUAACUACGUGCCAGCAGCCGCGGUAAUACGUAGGUGGCAAGCGUUGUCCGGAAUUAUUGGGCGUAAAGCGCGCGCAGGUGGUUCCUUAAGUCUGAUGUGAAAGCCCACGGCUCAACCGUGGAGGGUCAUUGGAAACUGGGGAACUUGAGUGCAGAAGAGGAAAGAGGAAUUCCAAGUGUAGCGGUGAAAUGCGUAGAGAUUUGGAGGAACACCAGUGGCGAAGGCGACUUUCUGGUCUGUAACUGACACUGAGGCGCGAAAGCGUGGGGAGCAAACAGGAUUAGAUACCCUGGUAGUCCACGCCGGAAACGAUGAGUGCUAAGUGUUAGAGGGUUUCCGCCCUUUAGUGCUGCAGCUAACGCAUUAAGCACUCCGCCUGGGGAGUACGGCCGCAAGGCUGAAACUCAAAGGAAUUGACGGGGGCCCGCACAAGCGGGGGAGCAUGUGGUUUAAUUCGAAGCAACGCGAAGAACCUUACCAGGUCUUGACAUCCUCUGACAACCCUAGAGAUAGGGCUUUCCCCUUCGGGGGACAGAGUGACAGGUGGUGCAUGGUUGUCGUCAGCUCGUGUCGUGUGAUGUUGGGUUAAGUCCCGCAACGAGCGCAACCCUUGAUCUUAGUUGCCAGCAUUCAGUUGGGCACUCUAAGGUGACUGCCGGUGACAAACCGGAGGAAGGUGGGGAUGACGUCAAAUCAUCAUGCCCCUUAUGACCUGGGCUACACACGUGCUACAAUGGAUGGUACAAAGGGCUGCAAACCUGCGAAGGUAAGCGAAGCCCAUAAAGCCAUUCUCAGUUCGGAUUGCAGGCUGCAACUCGCCUGCAUGAAGCCGGAAUCGCUAGUAAUCGCGGAUCAGCAUGCCGCGGUGCAUACGUUCCCGGGCCUUGUACACACCGCCCGUCACACCACGAGAGUUUGUAACACCCGAAGUCGGUGAGGUAACCUUCAUGGAGCCAGCCGCCUAAGGUGGGACAGAUGAUUGGGGUGAAGUCGUAACAAGGUAGCCGUAUCGGAAGGUGCGGCUG